AMWUUWWWWAAGGGUGCUUUCYUGCGGUCCCUGUUUUYCCYGMRGGCCCCSGCCGMCAGGGGKGAUGGAUAUSUKYKKRGGRSACCCUUGAGUUUGAUCCUGGCUCAGAACGAACGCUGGCGGCGUGCCUAACACAUGCAAGUCGAACGGAGUUGAGGGGCUUGCUCCUCAAUUUAGUGGCGCACGGGUGAGUAACGCGUAGAUAAUCUGCCUGAUGGUCCGGGAUAACAUUUCGAAAGGGGUGCUAAUACCGGAUAAGCCCACGGGAACUUUGGUUCUUGCGGGAAAAGGGGGGGACCUUCGGGCCUUCUGUCAUCAGAUGAGUCUGCGUACCAUUAGCUAGUUGGUAGGGUAAUGGCCUACCAAGGCUACGAUGGUUAGCUGGUCUGAGAGGAUGAUCAGCCACACUGGGACUGAGACACUGCCCAGACUCCUACGGGAGGCUGCAGUCGAGAAUCUUUGGCAAUGGGCGAAAGCCUGACCAUGCGACGCCGCGUGCGGGAUGAAGGCCUUCGGGUCGUAAACCGCUGUUACGAGGGACGAAGGCCCUUGUCGUGAACAACGGCAGGGGAUUGACGGUACCUCGGAAGAAAGCCCCGGCUAACUCCGUGCCAGCAGCCGCGGUAAUAC
Molecule: ribosomal RNA, 630 nt
Filed under: uncultured Geobacteraceae bacterium
Lineage: Bacteria; Pseudomonadati; Thermodesulfobacteriota; Desulfuromonadia; Geobacterales; Geobacteraceae
Description: bacterial SSU rRNA
Rfam family: Bacterial small subunit ribosomal RNA (bases 82-630)
Source: RNAcentral